This 507-nucleotide ribosomal RNA is filed under the name uncultured bacterium. RNAcentral describes it as "partial 16S ribosomal RNA". It matches the Rfam family "Bacterial small subunit ribosomal RNA", at positions 28 to 507 of the family's 1533-position model. The record is from RNAcentral.
GACGAACGCUGGCGGCGUGCCUAAUACAUGCAAGUCGAGCGCUUCUUUCCUCCCGAGUGCUUGCACUCAAUUGGAAAGAGGAGUGGCGGACGGGUGAGUAACACGUGGGUAACCUACCCAUCAGAGGGGGAUAACACUUGGAAACAGGUGCUAAUACCGCAUAACAGUUUAUGCCGCAUGGCAUAAGAGUGAAAGGCGCUUUCGGGUGUCGCUGAUGGAUGGACCCGCGGUGCAUUAGCUAGUUGGUGAGGUAACGGCUCACCAAGGCCACGAUGCAUAGCCGACCUGAGAGGGUGAUCGGCCACACUGGGACUGAGACACGGCCCAGACUCCUACGGGAGGCAGCAGUAGGGAAUCUUCGGCAAUGGACGAAAGUCUGACCGAGCAACGCCGCGUGAGUGAAGAAGGUUUCGGAUCGUAAAACUCUGUUGUUAGAGAAGAACAAGGACGUUAGUAACUGAACGUCCCCUGACGGUAUCUAACCAGAAAGCCACGGCUAACUACGUG